Long non-coding RNA from Microplitis demolitor, 737 nucleotides. RefSeq lists it as uncharacterized. NCBI's taxonomy places the organism in Eukaryota, Metazoa, Arthropoda, Insecta, Hymenoptera, Braconidae. The transcript is spliced from 3 exons. The record is from RefSeq and is a predicted model, not a curated record.
CAAUACGACGUGAUUCACCACCAACUGCCAGAAGCAUUGCGUAUUUUUACACUCAAUCCUCAUGGAAGGACACACAAAAACUUUUAGCUCAAACUUGAGUUCAUUUUGUUCGUCUUAAUGACGGUAAACAUUUGUUACAUUUCAGUUGUGAUCCAUAAUAAAAUAUCGCUACUAGAUUUUUUGUAUUCAUACUAGAAUUUUUUUAAACUAAGUUCAACUAUUAAAAAAAAAGGAGUAAACAAAAUAUGGGAAUGACGUGAUACGCUUUUUAACUUAUGAUAAUGACUAACUCUUGGUUAAAGGUUUUCGCGGUGACUAUUUACAGCACACGAGGAAAUUUAUCGGAUAAUUUAAGGUCUAUAUACACGCGCAGGCGCACCUCUGCUUUUAUUCCCUCUUUAUACGACCAUGCGAUUAUUGAUCGUCUUUAACUGACUGGAGGGUAGCUCUCCCUUUUCGUGGUCACCCGGAAUUUACUAAGUUAAGAUGUCAGAAAAAGAAAGAUAGAGAAGCCCAACAUAUGCGCAAGAACCGAUAAAAAAUCGACAGGAUUUACGAAUGAGUGCGCACGAGCCAAUUAUGACGCAUGUCAGCAAAAUGACAAUCAUGAUUGUGACUCAUUACCAGAAAGUAAUUGAAAGGUCACAAGGUUAAAGUGGAGGUCUACUGCGAAUAAAUUCUAAGACUACGGCACGUGCAUCUUUUGUCACACGUGGAGAAGGUGCUGGUGUUUUUUU